CCAAAGCGGAAAAGAAAAUAACUAUGAUUCCCUUAGUAACGGCGAGUGAACAGGGAAAAGCCCAAAUUUGUAAUCUGGCACUUUUUACGAGUGUCCGAGUUGUAAUUUGUAGAAUCGUUAUCCGCGCUGGACCAUGUACAAGUCUGUUGAAAAGCAGCAUCAUUGAAGGUGAAAAUCCUGUAGAUGAUAUGGACUACCAGUGCAUUUGUGAUAUGAUUUCUAAGAGUCGAGUUGUUUGGGAAUGCAGCUCAAAGUGGGUGGUAAAUUCCAUCUAAGGCUAAAUAUAAGUGAGAGACCGAUAGCAAACAAGUACCGUGAGGGAAAGAUGAAAAGAACUUUGAAAAUAGAGUUAACAGUACGUGAAAUUGCUGAAAGGGAAACGUUUGAAGUUAGUAUUGUAUUCGUUGGAUCAGCUUCGCAAGGAGUGUAUUCUGAUGAUAAGCAAGUCAACAUCAAUCUUUGGGUGUUGGAUAAGGGUUUUGAGGACGUAGCAAUUUAAUUGUGUUAUAACUUGAGACUUGGAUACAAUGCUUGGGAUUGAGGAACGCGUAGUAAGCUUUGUGCUGGAUCAGAAAUGAUCUCCUUACUAUGGAUGUUG
Molecule: ribosomal RNA, 598 nt
Filed under: Melampsora abietis-populi
Lineage: Eukaryota; Fungi; Basidiomycota; Pucciniomycetes; Pucciniales; Melampsoraceae
Description: partial large subunit ribosomal RNA
Rfam family: Eukaryotic large subunit ribosomal RNA
Source: RNAcentral